GACGAACGCUGGCGGCGUGCCUAAUACAUGCAAGUAGAACGCUGAAGAGAGGAGCUUGCUCUUCUUGGAUGAGUUGCGAACGGGUGAGUAACGCGUAGGUAACCUGCCUGGUAGCGGGGGAUAACUAUUGGAAACGAUAGCUAAUACCGCAUAAAAUGGAUUAUCGCAUGAUAAUCCAUUGAAAGGUGCAAAUGCAUCACUACCAGAUGGACCUGCGUUGUAUUAGCUAGUUGGUGGGGUAACGGCUCACCAAGGCGACGAUACAUAGCCGACCUGAGAGGGUGAUCGGCCACACUGGGACUGAGACACGGCCCAGACUCCUACGGGAGGCGGCAGUAGGGAAUCUUCGGCAAUGGACGGAAGUCUGACCGAGCAACGCCGCGUGAGUGAAGAAGGUUUUCGGAUCGUAAAGCUCUGUUGUAAGAGAAGAACGAGUGUGAGAGUGGAAAGUUCACACUGUGACGGUAUCUUACCAGAAAGGGACGGCUAACUACGUG
This 497-nucleotide ribosomal RNA is filed under the name uncultured bacterium. Its description in RNAcentral is "partial 16S ribosomal RNA". It matches the Rfam family "Bacterial small subunit ribosomal RNA", at positions 28 to 507 of the family's 1533-position model. The record is from RNAcentral.